This 301-nucleotide ribosomal RNA is filed under the name uncultured bacterium. RNAcentral's name for it is "partial 16S ribosomal RNA". It matches the Rfam family "Bacterial small subunit ribosomal RNA", at positions 509 to 807 of the family's 1533-position model. The record is from RNAcentral.
CAGUAGCCGCGGUAAUACGGAGGGUGCAAGCGUUAAUCGGAAUUACUGGGCGUAAAGCGCACGCAGGCGGUCUGUCAAGUCGGAUGUGAAAUCCCUGAGCUUAACUUAGGAAUUGCAUUUGAUACUGGGAAGCUAGAGUAUGGGAGAGGAUGGUAGAAUUCCAGGUGUAGCGGUGAAAUGCGUAGAGAUCUGGAGGAAUACCGAUGGCGAAGGCAGCCAUCUGGCCUAAUACUGACGCUGAGGUACGAAAGCAUGGGGAGCAAACAGGAUUAGAUACCCCAGUAGUCCCUGUCUCUUAUAC